CCUACGGGAGGCAGCAGUGAGGAAUAUUGGUCAAUGGGCGGAAGGCUGAACCAGCCAAGCCGCGUGAGGGACGAAGGUGCAAAGCAUUGUAAACUUCUUUUGUCAAGGGACAAAAUCAGGCACGAGAGCCUGACCGAGGGUACCUGAAGAAAAAGCAUCGGCUAACUCCGUGCCAGCAGCCGCGGUAAUACGGAGGAUGCGAGCGUUAUCCGGAUUUAUUGGGUUUAAAGGGAGCGUAGGCCGGUCUUUAAGCGUGCGGUCAAAGUUUGUGGCGCCACCCUGGGAGUGCGGUGCAAACUGGAGGCCUGGAGUGCGCGGGAGGCACGCGGAAUGCGUGGUGUAGCGGUGAAAUGCUUAGAUAUCGCGAAGAACCCCGAUUGCGAAGGCAGCCUGCCGCAGCGUUACUGACGCUGAGGCUCGAAAGCGCGGGUAUCGAACAGGAUUAGAUACCCUUGUAGUC
RNAcentral lists this ribosomal RNA (460 nucleotides) under uncultured bacterium. RNAcentral's name for it is "partial 16S ribosomal RNA". It matches the Rfam family "Bacterial small subunit ribosomal RNA", at positions 338 to 795 of the family's 1533-position model. The record is from RNAcentral.